This 506-nucleotide ribosomal RNA is filed under the name uncultured bacterium. Its description in RNAcentral is "partial 16S ribosomal RNA". It matches the Rfam family "Bacterial small subunit ribosomal RNA", at positions 29 to 523 of the family's 1533-position model. The record is from RNAcentral.
AGUGAACGCUGGCGGUAGGCCUAACACAUGCAAGUCGAACGGCAGCACAGGAGAGCUUGCUCUCUGGGUGGCGAGUGGCGGACGGGUGAGGAAUACAUCGGAAUCUACUUUUUCGUGGGGGAUAACGUAGGGAAACUUACGCUAAUACCGCAUACGACCUACGGGUGAAAGCAGGGGACCUUCGGGCCUUGCGCGAUUGAAUGAGCCGAUGUCGGAUUAGCUAGUUGGCGGGGUAAAGGCCCACCAAGGCGACGAUCCGUAGCUGGUCUGAGAGGAUGAUCGGCCACACUGGAACGGAGACACGGUCCAGACUGAUACGGGAGGCAGCAGUGGGGAAUAUUGGACAAUGGGCGCAAGCCUGAUCCAGCCAUACCGCGUGGGUGAAGAAGGCCUUCGGGUUGUAAAGCCCUUUUGUUGAGAAAGAAAUCCAGCUGGCUAAUACCCGGUUGGGAUGACGGUACCCAAAGAAUAAGCACCGGCUAACUUCGUGCCAGCCGCCGCGGUAA